RNAcentral lists this small nuclear RNA (265 nucleotides) under Salvator merianae (Argentine black and white tegu). RNAcentral describes it as "7SK RNA (ENSSMRG00000023090.1)". It matches the Rfam family "7SK RNA". From Rfam's summary of the family: 7SK was discovered as an abundant small nuclear RNA in the mid-70s but a possible function has only recently been suggested. Lineage: Eukaryota; Metazoa; Chordata; Lepidosauria; Squamata; Teiidae. The record is from RNAcentral.
GGAUGUGAAGACAAUGUGGCUGCAAUAUCUGUCUUCUCAUUGACCAUCAGGGUUGAUUCAGCCAGUCGUGCUGUUUAGGUGGAUGUCCCCUUUCUCCCUCACUGUUCUAUGNGUGUCCCUCCCAAAGCAGCAUGCUCAGUGGAAGAGAACAAACAUACCAAGCAGAAGAAGUAUAUCUUCAGUCAAAGCUAUACUUAAAUAUCUCCUUUCUGUGCAGACACUAAAAACACUGGAAUGCUGUCUUGGAUUCCAUUUGACUUUUCUU